GCGGAGGAAAAGAAACCAUCAGGGAUUGCCUAGUACGGCGAGUGAAGCGGCACAGCUCAAAUUUGAAAGCUAGCCUUCGGGUUCGCAUUGUAAUUUGUAGAGGAUGAUUUGGAGAAGCCGCCUGUCUAAGUUCCUUGGAACAGGACGUCAUAGAGGGUGAGAAUCCCGUAUGUGACAGGAAAUGGCACCCUAUGUAAAUCUCCUUCGACGAGUCGAGUUGUUUGGGAAUGCAGCUCUAAAUGGGAGGUAAAUUUCUUCUAAAGCUAAAUAUUGGCGAGAGACCGAUAGCGCACAAGUAGAGUGAUCGAAAGAUGAAAAGCACUUUGGAAAGAGAGUUAAAAAGCACGUGAAAUUGUUGAAAGGGAAGCGCUUGCAAUCAGACUUGUUUAAACUGUUCGGCCGGUCUUCUGACCGGUUUACUCAGUUUGGACAGGCCAGCAUCAGUUUCGGCGGCCGGAUAAAGGCUCUGGGAAUGUGGCCUCCACUUCGGUGGAGGUGUUAUAGCCCAGGGUGUAAUACGGCCAGCCGGGACUGAGGUCCGCGCUUCGGCUAGGAUGCUGGCGUAAUGGUUGUAAGCGACCCGU
Molecule: ribosomal RNA, 584 nt
Filed under: Aureobasidium pullulans
Lineage: Eukaryota; Fungi; Ascomycota; Dothideomycetes; Dothideales; Saccotheciaceae
Description: eukaryotic LSU rRNA
Rfam family: Eukaryotic large subunit ribosomal RNA
Source: RNAcentral